Mycena rosella is the source of this 94-nucleotide non-coding RNA. The record is from the annotation of a GenBank genome assembly. NCBI's taxonomy places the organism in Eukaryota, Fungi, Basidiomycota, Agaricomycetes, Agaricales, Mycenaceae.
GCGGACGUGGUGUACGGUGCACUGCUGCAUCGAAUGAAUGGUGUGGGGAGAAAAGUUGAAGUAGUAAGACGGGGUUCGACUCCCCGCGUCCGCC